UACGUAGGGACCAAGCGUUGUCCGGAAUCAUUGGGCGUAAAGAGCGUGUAGGCGGCUUGUUAAGUCUUGCGUGAAAUCUCGGGGCUCAACCCCGAGCGGUCGUGAGAAACUGGCAGGCUAGAGUGCGGGAGAGGAGAGUGGAAUUCCUGGUGUAGCGGUGAAAUGCGCAGAUAUCAGGAAGAACACCCGUGGCGAAAGCGGCUCUCUGGAACGGUACUGACGCUGAGACGCGAAAGCGUGGGGAGCGAACAGG
RNAcentral lists this ribosomal RNA (253 nucleotides) under uncultured bacterium. Its description in RNAcentral is "partial 16S ribosomal RNA". It matches the Rfam family "Bacterial small subunit ribosomal RNA", at positions 524 to 776 of the family's 1533-position model. The record is from RNAcentral.